RNAcentral lists this small RNA (132 nucleotides) under Escherichia coli. RNAcentral describes it as "RtT sRNA". It matches the Rfam family "RtT RNA". From Rfam's summary of the family: This family represents a bacterial cis-regulatory element known as RtT RNA. The exact function of RtT is unknown although it is thought that it may be involved in changing the cellular response in relation to amino acid starvation. The record is from RNAcentral. Lineage: Bacteria; Pseudomonadati; Pseudomonadota; Gammaproteobacteria; Enterobacterales; Enterobacteriaceae.
AGUUUGCACUCAUCGGGAAGGGUGAGAACCUUCGACUAAGGUCUCGAUUCGAGCGAAAGCGAGAGAACGUUGCCACAGGCAACGGCCCGAAGGGUGAGGAGCGAAGCGACGAAUAAUCCUUCCCCACCACCA